This 222-nucleotide ribosomal RNA is filed under the name uncultured bacterium. Its description in RNAcentral is "partial 16S ribosomal RNA". It matches the Rfam family "Bacterial small subunit ribosomal RNA", at positions 109 to 334 of the family's 1533-position model. The record is from RNAcentral.
AGUAAUGUAUGGGGAUCUGCCUGAUGGCGGGGGGUAACUACUGGAAACGGUAGCUAAUAUCGCAUAAUGUCUGCGGACCAAAGCGGGGGACCUCCGGGCCUCGCGCCAUCAGAUGAACCCAUAUGGGAUUAGCUAGUAGGUAAGGUAACGGCUUACCUAGGCGACGAUCCCUAGCUGGUCUGAGAGGAUGAUCAGCCACACUGGGACUGAGACACGGCCCAG